This 67-nucleotide transfer RNA is filed under the name Yemmalysus parallelus. Its description in RNAcentral is "tRNA-Phe". RNAcentral also lists the same sequence under 1 other name. The record is from RNAcentral. Lineage: Eukaryota; Metazoa; Arthropoda; Insecta; Hemiptera; Berytidae.
AUUUGAGUAGCUUAAGUUUAAAGUUUAAUAUUGAAGAUAUUAAUAUAGAAGUUUCUUCUCUCAAAUA